Molecule: long non-coding RNA, 1434 nt
Filed under: Oryzias javanicus (javanese ricefish)
Lineage: Eukaryota; Metazoa; Chordata; Actinopteri; Beloniformes; Adrianichthyidae
Description: lncRNA (ENSOJAG00000001032.1)
Source: RNAcentral
AUGACGAUGCCGCAGGUCUCCACGGCGCGGCUGGUGUUAGCCUCGGCUAACCUCAGGAAGCUGCGGCAGACCUCUGCAGGAACGGCCAGCUGCCGGAGCGCGUCCACCAUGGAGUCUGCAGAGAGGAACCGGCUGAGCCACAGACGUCCCGGACGCACCGACAUUCUGGGGGGGGUCCACGGCUUACUGUUGUUCUCGGGGCUGACCAGAGAGCCCGGCUUGAGCGAGCGGUCGAAGGUGGGCGGGCCCGGCGUGCCGGUGGUCACGGGCUGCCGGUAGUUCCCCGAAAGGUCCCCCGGACUCUGCGGCGCGGUGGGGGAGACCUGCGGGGGGCCUUGGAUUCGGGAAUGAGGGGCGUGUCAGGAGAGGGCGCGGCCGGCGUGGCGAACUCCAGCAGCACCCGCUGGCGUUCCUUCUCCAGCUCCUGGCGGCGGAUCAUCUCCUCGAAGGCGCUGAACUGCUCCUGCUCGCGCUGCCGCCGCUGCAUGUCGGCCACGCGCUCGCGCUCGGCGUCCAUCGCGCGCUGCCGGGACUGCUCCAGCGCCAUGGCCUCCUCCUGCGCCUUCUGAGCACAAAACACGCACCAGUUUGAGGAUUCUUGACGGUUUCUGGAUGUAGAUCUGCUGCAGAAUUCUGCCGUUUGAAGGAACGUCAUGCAGAGAAAGCCGUUUUUAGAACCUUCUUGAUCUGAUACUGAGCAUGCUCUUCUUCAAAUCUCCUCAGAAGAGCCUUUUUCAGGAUCUCGGCCUGGGGAAAGGCCACGUCCUUCAGUUUCUGAGGAAGGAACAGAAAAGGUUGAGGUUCAGAUCAGGAACUUUCUGGAAGACCAACAGACAAGUUCCCACCUUCAAGGUAUCUUUCUUUUCGGGAAUGUUGGCCGUCUUGUAGUCCCGAUGCUUCGGAAGCUUUUCGAUGAAGAGCCUUGAAGAAAAGAGCAGAGUGUGGUCAGGCUUUGUGCUGGCCGUUGGGCGGCGCGGCGUCUGCAAACCCUCACGUGAUGUAUUUGUUGUACAGGAGGAAGGCGUGCUCCACGUUCCCCUCCUCCGUGUAGAUGCUGGCCAUGCGGAUCAUCUCCAUGCCUGAGCGGAAGUACCGGCGGGGCGGGACGUCGUCGUUCACCUCCACCGUGCUCCCUUUCUUGGUGAGGGCGCGGACGCGCUCCUCCGGCGGCAGCCUGACGUCGUUGUGGUCCGCCAUGGCGACACCUCAACCUGGAAGACCUGAAGAACAGGUUUCAUAGAGGAGGAGCCGCAUUCUUCUGAAUGAGGCUUCAGCAGAACCGUCAACCGGGUCGAGAGGACACUCGGGUCUCUACUGAGAACAUUUUGGUUAAACCUGCAGCGACAGCAGAGGUGUCAAACUCAAUCGCAUGAGGGGCAACAUCCAAAACACACCUUAGGUCGCGGGCCGAACGGGACAAACAUUUAUUAAACA